This 500-nucleotide ribosomal RNA is filed under the name uncultured bacterium. RNAcentral's name for it is "partial 16S ribosomal RNA". It matches the Rfam family "Bacterial small subunit ribosomal RNA", at positions 30 to 523 of the family's 1533-position model. The record is from RNAcentral.
AUUGAACGCUGGCGGCAUGCCUUACACAUGCAAGUCGAACGGCAGCACGGGAGCAAUCCUGGUGGCGAGUGGCGAACGGGUGAGUAAUAUAUCGGAACGUGCCCAGUCGUGGGGGAUAACGCAGCGAAAGCUGUGCUAAUACCGCAUACGAUCUAAGGAUGAAAGCGGGGGAUCGCAAGACCUCGCGCGAUUGGAGCGGCCGAUAUCAGAUUAGCUAGUUGGUGGGGUAAAGGCCCACCAGGGCGACGAUCUGUAGCUGGUCUGAGAGGACGACCAGCCACACUGGAACUGAGACACGGUCCAGACUCCUACGGGAGGCAGCAGUGGGGAAUUUUGGACAAUGGGCGCAAGCCUGAUCCAGCAAUGCCGCGUGCAGGAUGAAGGCCUUCGGGUUGUAAACUGCUUUUGUACGGAACGAAACGGCCCUUUCUAAUACAGGGGGCUAAUGACGGUACCGUAAGAAUAAGCACCGGCUAACUACGUGCCAGUAGCCGCCGUAA